ACGAACGCUGGCGGCGUGCCUAAUACAUGCAAGUCGAACGAGAGCGACCGGUGCUUGCACUGGUCAAUCUAGUGGCGAACGGGUGAGUAACACGUGGGUAACCUGCCCAUCAGAGGGGGAUAACAUUCGGAAACGGAUGCUAAAACCGCAUAGGUUCUACAGUCGCAUGUCUGAAGAAGGAAAAGAGGCUUCGGCUUCUGCUGAUGGAUGGACCCGCGGCGCAUUAGCUAGUUGGUGAGGUAACGGCUCACCAAGGCCGUGAUGCAUAGCCGACCUGAGAGGGUGAUCGGCCACAUUGGGACUGAGACACGGCCCAAACUCCUACGGGAGGCAGCAGUAGGGAAUCUUCCGCAAUGGACGCAAGUCUGACGGAGCAACGCCGCGUGAGUGAAGAAGGAUUUCGGUUCGUAAAACUCUGUUGUUAGAGAAGAACAGCGCAUAGAGUAACUGUUAUGCGUGCGACGGUAUCUAACCAGAAAGCCACGGCUAACUACGUGC
RNAcentral lists this ribosomal RNA (498 nucleotides) under uncultured Granulicatella sp. Its description in RNAcentral is "bacterial SSU rRNA". It matches the Rfam family "Bacterial small subunit ribosomal RNA", at positions 29 to 508 of the family's 1533-position model. The record is from RNAcentral. Lineage: Bacteria; Bacillati; Bacillota; Bacilli; Lactobacillales; Carnobacteriaceae.